ACAAGGGUUUGGAUUUAUGGCAGGCCCGUCCCCCUGGGUCUUUCAUAGUACCCCACGCCAGGGCAAACCGUGACCUUGAACUCUCCUCUGGCCUCCAUCCAUAGGCCACAGACACUGAAGCAGGUUACACAGUG
This is a small nucleolar RNA of Phyllostomus discolor (pale spear-nosed bat), 134 nucleotides long. RefSeq annotates it as small nucleolar RNA SNORA42/SNORA80 family. Lineage: Eukaryota; Metazoa; Chordata; Mammalia; Chiroptera; Phyllostomidae. The transcript has a single exon. The record is from RefSeq and is a predicted model, not a curated record.